Molecule: RNA transcript, 3863 nt
Organism: Musa acuminata AAA Group (dessert banana)
Lineage: Eukaryota; Viridiplantae; Streptophyta; Magnoliopsida; Zingiberales; Musaceae
Gene name: protein disulfide-isomerase SCO2
Exons: 8
Source: RefSeq, a predicted model, not a curated record
CGCCCGGCAGUUAAAGAUGCCGGAGGAGGACACGAAGCCCUUCGUUUCCCGCUUCGCUUGCCAUGGCCCUCACCAACCCUAAUCCCCUUCUCUCCAAACCCUUACCCCCGCCUCUCCUUCGCAUCCCCUCGCGUUGCUUCCUCCGUUGCCGCGCAGCCGCGGACGCCUCCUCGGACUGGUUCCGCCCCCGGGGCGACCCGCCCGAUGGAGGGAGAAUGUCUGCCCGGGACCCCGGGACUCGAAUUAACGCGACGGAGGAGAGCACGGACCAGAGCAGCAGCGGCAAUAAGAAGAAGAAGAAGAAAAGCAAGUGGUGGUGGUGGUCUCGGGACCGGGAGAGCUACUUGGCCAACGACUCCGACGCCCUGCCGCUGCCGAUGACCUACCCUGACUCUUCCCCGGUGUCACCGCAGGAGAUCGACCGCAGGCUCCAGUGUGAUCCCAGUAUCGAGGAUUGUAAGCCAGUGGUGUACGAGUGGACGGGGAAGUGUAGGAGUUGCCAGGGGACGGGGUUGGUGAGCUACUACAACAAAAGGGGGCGGGAGACGAUCUGCAAGUGCGUUCCCUGCCUUGGAAUAGGAUAUGUCCAGAAAAUAACGGUACGGGAGGACAUCAAUGUGAUGGAAGAUGUAGACAAUGGAAAACCACCUUAAUUCAUUCCUUCGACAAGGAAUUAUAUAUAAAUUUGUGCAUCCAAAUUCUGGUGAUGACAUACACACCGCUGAUACUUCUGCUUCUGUUCCAUCUCCUGAUGUGAUAAGCGGAUGUCAGGACUCCACAUUCUUUAUUUUCAAUCUGACUAUCCAAAUUCAUUGGUUUGAAGCUGGUAAAGUGGUUAUCAGAUUACAGGUUUGAUGCUAUUUUUUGACCCCAAAUGUUAAGGAGAUGAUGCAGGAGUUCAACAAGUAUCAAACAAAAAAAAUCAGAUAGAAGUUGAAACUGAAAGCAAAACCAAGGUUGGGAGUGUGGCAAAUGAUGCAAGCUGCUGACUUAACAAAAAUAGCUUUAACAAGUUCGCAAAGCUGACUGAGAAAGGCUUUAAGGUCCUUGAUAUUGGAGGCACUUUUUGGAUGUUCGAUCAAGUUUGUGAUGGCCGAAAUUGUUCAAAGGGACACAAAAAAGAUACCUUUCAAGGAUGCACCCUGAGAUGAGUGCCAGAAUAACACCAAAGGUAGACAAGAAUGGCAAUCGGCUGUCAUGAGCUCUUACAGCCGAGAUUAAGUUGACCUAAUAUAAGUUAUGAGUCAAAUUAAGCAGGAGCCCUUGAAAAUAGAGCCAGGAAUGACUUUUAUUCCGUGCAUGUUUUGUAUUGUUUUACAGCUAAUGCAAUUUCUAAAAUUAAUGCAGCUCUCUCUCACUUCUAAAUUUUGGUCUUCUUUCUUUACAUUUCCUGCAAUCAGCUGAUGUGUGCAAGGUUUACAGUAAGUUUAGCAUUUUUGCAAAUGUGCCUUGUCUGAUGAACUUUAGUGCAUCAAAAAAGUGCUUCCAUAUAAUCAUGUGCAUUUUCUAUUCCUUUCAUAUAUUGUAGUUUUAUCCAGGUCUGAUUUAAAUGAUAUAUUAUAUUUAGUGUAAAAGGAGGCAUAUGUUGGAAAGGAGGGAGUCAUUACAAGGAUUCAUUAUCUCUUCUAAUAGUUGUUCGUUUCUCAUUUACUUUUUUCAUAUAUCUCUUUUUUUUUGUUCUGUUUAAGCCAUUAUUAUUUUGCUUGGACCUGCUUCCUGGUUCUUUCUCAUGCCUCAAAUGUUGAGACUUCUUAGACCACUUUUAUAAGACCAACCCUGGAACUAUUAUCUAUAGUUGUUUGUCUCAUUAUGGCCGACAUGUAAGUGCAAGAAAUCAGUUGUUUAGAUUCCUUUUUCUUAUGCUACAAUCAUCAUGCAACAUGCAUCUGAACUUAAGAUUAGGGGGAGAAACCCUAAGACAGUUGCUGAAUUAAAUACCUUUGAAUGAAGGCUUACUGCAUCAGAUGUCGCAAAAUGUAGCUUAAGAUUGUGUGAAACCAGGGACACCACAGGAAUAUAUAGUUUCUAUUACUAGCUAUUCACACAUGGAGAACUUGUAGGAAUAGGCUUUGGUUGUGUAAAUACCAAUCAUCAAGUAGAUAUGAUCAUGCAUCAACAGCACACAAUUUUAACAACACAUUACCUGCAGUGCCAUGUCCACCACUUGUGCCUCAAGUACAUAGCAUUGAUAAUUUCAGAAGUUGUCAAGUAAAUCAUUACACAAGUUACAGUUACCGGCUCGAUGAACAUUAUCAAUGAACGGAUACAAAAGCAUUAUUGCAUCGAACCAUAGAUUGAAAAAAAUGGCUCUCUCAAACUUGAAUUGAGAAAUUUGUUAAGAAUUAGGAGUUAGAACUACAGCAUCUACAUACAUUAUUUGAUAUUCUAAAGAAGUGCAUUUAGUCAUAAGGAAGCAACUUAGUAUCUUGUUCCUUCAGUUAAGAGCUUUUGGUAAACUUUCAGCUAUCUUAUUUUCUUACUUGUAUUAUGGAUCCCUAAUUUGGUGCGAAUAUGAUUGUCUUCUCCUGGUCAUGAAGACCAUUAUCUUCUUUUAAUGUCAAAUUCUUUGUUCAUGAAUUAUCAGCAGAAGUAUAAAUAGAUUAAAAAUACAUUGAUAUCUCAUCCUGUUUGUCUCUUCUCUUUUCCUCGCCAACCUCAGCUCAUAGCGUCUUUUCCAAUUUUUGUUGAAGGUGGAGGAUUUGGCUGUUCUUUCUGGAGGGUAAUGGUCUCUUCAAGGAGAGGGGUGGGAAACACAAGACUCGCAUGCCUCUUGAACUGAUAUAUGAUAGCAUUCAUGGCCUUUGGAACCGCAUUGGGGUGGGGAACAUAUCACUCACAUGCCUACUCAAGACUCCUUUUGAUAUGAAGUUCCUCAAGGAUGAAUCCUUGCCACCAACGAGGGAGACCAAAAGAGGGAGAGAUCAUCUCUUUUUGGCUACUACUAAGAGGCCAUCUGCGGCGCGCCGGUGGUGCCGCCGAUGAACCCGCGCAUCUCGUUCUCCAGCGACUUCGUCGUGGAGCAGCACGCCGCACGGACCACGAGCCCGCCGCCCGAUCCCGACUUCGAGUUUGCCGUCGGCAGCCACUCGAUGAUCGACGCUGAUCGACUCUUCUUCGAGGGCCGGCUGCUCCCGCUCAAGGACACCCACCAACGCGGGCCGUAUCAGCGGGUCAUCACCACCUUGAGGGAAGAGCUUCGGACUGACGAGGAGGACGGGGCCCGGUGGGAGCGGCCGCUGAAAGGAUCCAUUAACUGGAGGGUGUUGUUUGGAAUCAAGAAGGCCCGUCGCCGCUCGGCGGCGGCAGUGACGGCAAAGAAGAGCGACGAGGUUGAUGAUGAGCUUCUUGUCAAGCCAACAUAGGACCUCUAAGGCCAAGAAGGAGCCUUCUCUAAUGGCGGAAGUGAUAAAUUCUUCAUGAUACUGAAGCAACGAAGAGAGAAGGGACAGUUCAUGAACAGGCACUGGGAUUUGAGGAGGCAGCUGUAUAUUAAGUCAUCAAUCAAUCACUGUUUUCUGUCAAUUAAUUCACUGUACUUUCAACCAUGUGGUGUUUAUGGCCCUUCUCUUCUUCCCUUUGUCUGCUGUACACAAAGUUUCAGCUGGAAGAUUAAUUGUGUGAAUGCUGAACCUGAAUUCAAAUCUGUGCAGAUGAGGUUCUCUUGCUGCAAUCUUGUUUGUCCCUCUUGGUUGGGGAACAGUCAUGCCUUUGUCCUGUUGUCUGAGUUCUGAGGAACAAAGAGCAGAGACAGAGACUGUGGAGGUAACAUGAUUUUGGAUUCUGUCACUCAUGUCCUUGUUCUUGUUACCAGCAAACUUUAGAAAAUAUUAUAUGCCAACAACUUGUUCUACUCUAUUAUUUCA